Molecule: ribosomal RNA, 420 nt
Filed under: bacterium
Lineage: Bacteria
Description: partial 16S ribosomal RNA
Rfam family: Bacterial small subunit ribosomal RNA
Source: RNAcentral
UGGGGGAUAUUGCACAAUGGGCGAAAGCCUGAUGCAGCGACGCCGCGUGGGGGAUGAAGGCUUUCGGGUUGUAAACCUCUUUCGCUAUCGAACAAGGCCCGCUUAGGGUGGGUUGAGGGUAGGUGGAGAAGAAGCGCCGGCUAACUACGUGCCAGCAGCCGCGGUAAUACGUAGGGCGCGAGCGUUUUCCGGAAUUCUUGGGCGUAAAGGGCUUGUAGGCGGCUUGUUGCGCCUGCUGUGAAAACGCGGGGCUUAACUUCGCGCGUGCAGUGGGUACGGGCAGGCUUGAGUGUGGUAGGGGUGACUGGAAUUCCAGGUGUAGCGGUGGAAUGCGCAGAUAUCUGGAGGAACACCGAUGGCGAAGGCAGGUCACUGGGGCAUUACUGACGCUGAGGAGCGAAAGCAUGGGUAGCGAACAGG